Molecule: non-coding RNA, 209 nt
Filed under: Sporomusa sphaeroides
Lineage: Bacteria; Bacillati; Bacillota; Negativicutes; Selenomonadales; Sporomusaceae
Also listed under: 1 other name
Description: T-box sequence
Rfam family: T-box leader
About the family: Uncharged tRNA acts as the effector for transcription antitermination of genes in the T-box leader family. T-boxes are found upstream of many aminoacyl-tRNA synthetase genes and some amino acid biosynthetic genes usually in Gram-positive bacteria.
Source: RNAcentral
CUAAAUGCGAAGACCAGGAGAAGUACGCGUUCACCCCCCUCAGAGAGGCAUCGCCACCGGCUGUAAGCGAUGCUGGGUUGGGCUCCGCCGAAAUGCACCUGGUAGCAGGUUGACUGAAUGGAAGUAGGUCAUCCCGGCUGCUGCCGUUACCAGUUCAAGCAGGGGCAUUAUGCCCAAGCAGAGUGGAACCGCGAGCCAUCGUCUCUGUA